RNAcentral lists this ribosomal RNA (424 nucleotides) under uncultured prokaryote. Its description in RNAcentral is "bacterial SSU rRNA". It matches the Rfam family "Bacterial small subunit ribosomal RNA", at positions 355 to 796 of the family's 1533-position model. The record is from RNAcentral.
UGGGGAAUAUUGGACAAUGGGCGAAAGCCUGAUCCAGCAAUGCCGCGUGAGUGAUGAAGGCCUUAGGGUUGUAAAGCUCUUUUACCAGGGAUGAUAAUGACAGUACCUGGAGAAUAAGCUCCGGCUAACUCCGUGCCAGCAGCCGCGGUAAUACGGAGGGAGCUAGCGUUGUUCGGAAUUACUGGGCGUAAAGCGCACGUAGGCGGCUUUUCAAGUCAGGGGUGAAAUCCCGGGGCUCAACCCCGGAACUGCCCUUGAAACUGGAUGGCUAGAAUACUGGAGAGGUGAGUGGAAUUCCGAGUGUAGAGGUGAAAUUCGUAGAUAUUCGGAAGAACACCAGUGGCGAAGGCGACUCACUGGACAGUUAUUGACGCUGAGGUGCGAAAGCGUGGGGAGCAAACAGGAUUAGAUACCCCCGUAGUCC